CAUGUGGAAUUUUUAGUUGCU
RNAcentral lists this microRNA (21 nucleotides) under Bos taurus (domestic cattle). Its description in RNAcentral is "bta-miR-12002a". The record is from miRBase by way of RNAcentral. Lineage: Eukaryota; Metazoa; Chordata; Mammalia; Artiodactyla; Bovidae.